Molecule: RNA transcript, 2135 nt
Organism: Telopea speciosissima
Lineage: Eukaryota; Viridiplantae; Streptophyta; Magnoliopsida; Proteales; Proteaceae
Gene name: mitogen-activated protein kinase kinase kinase 1-like
Exons: 9
Source: RefSeq, a predicted model, not a curated record
GGGUUAAUGGCGGGAGAGUUUCUGCUCUCGCCGGUGACGAGCAUCUCCGAUGGAUCACAACUAUCUGCGACGAAUCUUCCGUCACAGAAGAAACAGUGACGACGAAGAAGCAUCUGCUGAUAUGGAGGAUACGAAGCAGAAGCCGAAGCUCGAACGCCGCAACGCACUCAAGAAUAUUGAAUACGAUCCCCUCAAUUCAUCCUCCUCUUCUGUUUCUUCCUCCGAUGGUAUUCCUUCUAAACUUCGAACUCGAUCGCUUGAUAUCAACCCUUUCGACAAGAACACUAGCUUCCGAAUUGAAGGUAUCGAGGGUGAGUUCGACCGGCUCUGUGAGACUUUAGGGCUUUCAGGUCCUGAAGAUUUUGCAAUUCCAGCAGCUGCUUGGGAGGCCAGGAAAGCUCGUUCUUCCUCUGAUAUUUUCCCCAGGUCUCGAUUCAGUAAGAUCGAUGUCCUCACCAAGCCAGAGAAGGAAGAGGAGGGACUUGAAGCUACGGUUAGGGUUAAUGAUGAAGCGGCAGUGUUGGUUGAUCUUAAUACGUUGACGUUGAACGACUCAAAAAAUUGCCGGAAUUCACUUGAUGUGGGCACUUUUGCCACUGCCUCCUGCGGUGUUGAUGGUGGUGGCGCAGCCGGAGCUGGAGGAGGAAUUAAGGGGGCUCGCCCGCCACUGCUCACUCCGCCGCCUUUGAAGAGUAGGUAUGUUGAUGAUAUGUCUUCGGCCUCAACGUGGGAUAUAAUGAGGUCUCUUGCGCCUGAGGAGAGGGGUUCAUCUUCGUGUCCGGUAAGGCUUUUAGAUUCGACCUCAUCUGACAAGGAGGAUGAGCUUGGUUUAGAAGGUGAAGAGUUUAAUGAUGGGGAAAUUGGUGGGAGAGAAAAAGAACAUGAAAAUGGAGCGAGACUUGGGGAGACUGCUGUUAUGUCAGAUUCGCCUAUAUUUUUAACAUCAAACGAUGAGGAUUCUUCGAGUGCAACCACGGAAACGACAUACAAUAUUUCUCCUGAGGGUUGUUUCGGACGAAACAUCACUUCCUGGCAACGAGGCGAUAUCAUUGGAAGUGGGUCGUUUGGGACUGUGUAUGAAGCAUACACCGAUGAUGGAUUCUUUUUUGCUGUAAAAGAGAUUUCUUUGCUUGACCAAAGUCAGCAAAGCAUUCAACAGCUUGAGCAGGAAAUUGCUCUUUUAAGGGAGUUUGAACAUGAGAAUAUUGUCCAAUACCUUGGAACAGACAAGCAUGAAGGAAAACUAUGUAUCUUUCUUGAGCUUGUAACCCGAGGUUCUCUGGUAAAUGUUUAUCGAAAGUAUCAUCUCGGAGAUUCCCAAGUCUCAGCCUACACGAGGCAGAUCCUGAGUGGUUUGAAAUAUCUUCACGAUCGAAACGUUGUUCACAGGGAUAUCAAAUGUGCUAAUAUUUUGGUGCAUACAAGUGGAUCUGUGAAACUUGCAGAUUUUGGGUUAGCAAAGGCAAUCAAAUUAAAUGAUGCGAAAUCCUGCAAAGGCACUGCAUUCUGGAUGGCUCCUGAGGUUGUUAAUCGGAAGAUGCAUGGCUAUGGAAUUGCGGCUGAUAUAUGGAGCCUUGGUUGCACUGUCCUAGAGAUGUUGACACGUGUGCUACCUUACUCUCCUUUAGAACCGGUGCGGAAAUGCAAGCAGUAUUUAGGAUUGGCCAGGGAAAACCGCCCCCAAUUCCUGAUUCCCUAUCAAGAGAUGCUCGGGAUUUCAUCUGCCAAUGCUUACAGGUUAACCCAGAAAAUCGGCCCACUGCUGCUCAGCUCUUGAACCAUUCAUUUGUGCAGCGGCUACUGCCAACUUCAUCAGUGUCAGGAUCUCCUUUGCAUCAUAACAGCAGACGGUCUUGAAGUUUGUCUUCCAUCAAUUUUGGUGACAAAGAUGAGUCCAACUGGGUGAGCAUGCUGCUGAACCCUUGCCCUCCAUGCUGCACGCCAAGGGCCAUUUUAGCCAUGAAUCUAAAGCACCAGAAGGUCAUGCAUUUGGCUGAUGUUUUGUAUAUUCCAUUUUUCCUAGUUGAGAGAUUUUCUGCAUAGGAGGGCGACUUGUAUUUUCGUAGUCCCUUUUUUUUUUCCUAGUGGGGCCAUUGAUUUCUUCAAAUGUUUGUUUAGUGUGCAAUCUUUCUUUU